RNAcentral lists this ribosomal RNA (742 nucleotides) under Moesziomyces aphidis. RNAcentral's name for it is "eukaryotic LSU rRNA". The stretch from base 119 to 742 matches the Rfam family "Eukaryotic large subunit ribosomal RNA", at positions 1 to 707 of the family's 3401-position model. Lineage: Eukaryota; Fungi; Basidiomycota; Ustilaginomycetes; Ustilaginales; Ustilaginaceae. The record is from RNAcentral.
GAGAGGAGAGGCGCAGGGUCGAGGAGCUGGACGCGACGUUUUGCUGGUUGGAGUGCUUCUGAACCCCGCCCAUGCCUCGCUUCUUUGGAAGAGAGGAAGGGAUUUAAUUUCAAUUCAUCGGCCUCAGAUUGGUAGGACUACCCGCUGAACUUAAGCAUAUCAAUAAGCGGAGGAAAAGAAACUAACAAGGAUUCCCCUAGUAACGGCGAGUGAAGAGGGAAGAGCCCAAGAUUGAAAGCUGGCGUCUUCGGCGUCCGCAUUGUAAUCUCAAGAAGUGUUUUCCGCUUCGGACCAAGCCUAAGUCCCUUGGAAAAGGGCAUCAUAGAGGGUGAUAAUCCCGUACAUGGCUUGGAGCGCCCGAAGCUUUGUGAUACGCUUUCUAAGAGUCGAGUUGUUUGGGAAUGCAGCUCAAAAUGGGUGGUAAAUGCCAUCUAAGGCUAAAUAUUGGGGAGAGACCGAUAGCGAACAAGUACAGUGAUGGAAAGAUGAAAAGAACUUUGAAAAGAGAGUUAAACAGUACGUGAAAUUGCCAAAAGGGAAGGGUAGGAGGUCAGAGAUGCGGCCUGGGAUUCAGCCUUGCUUUUGCUUGGUGUUUUUCCCAGAUUGCAGGCCAACGUCGGUUUUGGGCACUGGAGAAGGGUAGGAGGAACGUGGCACCUCUCGGGGUGUGUUAUAGCCUCCUACUGGAUACAGCGACCGAGACCGAGGACAGCAGCGUACUCGCAAGAGCGGGCCUUCGGGC